CCCGCGCCUGGAAUAGUGUGCUUAUACAGUGUCACUAAGUAAAUGUGCGUUGGCAGGUAGACUGAAGAGCUAGUGCAGAGCUAAGUUUGCUGUUUUGUGGGAAAUCAAAGGAGAAGUACCCUCUGGUUGGAAAACACCCCAGGAGAGGCAGCUUCAAGGAGCUGGCAUGUGGAUGAAAAUGUUUAGCAUGAGCAAGCUUUAUCCUGGUCAGGGGCAGGCAGUGGGCAUUCCAGGCAGAGGGAGUGGCCCUGGAAAAAGGGAGAAGGGCUCAAUGGACAUGGCUUGUUUCUGCUUCUCAUGGCAACAGAUAUAGUCAUGAGAUUGGAGCUGGAGGACGCGUUUCCAAGGUGACUCGAUCUCCUAGCUGCUUAUAAAGUUGAUUCACUGACUGCUGGUUUGAAAUGGUGUCUGCUAACAGUUCCUGGUACAGCUUCUCUGUAUGUGACGUAAAAUACCUAUAAAGGCUUAGAAGAAGAUGUAAACUCAAAACACAGCCAUAAACUUGGACUGACAAUCCCCUGAAGACUGGAUCUGGGAGGACUUUUUGCCAACAGUAAUGCCAAUGAAACUGAAAAGAAGAGAACAUUCUAUGGAUGUGGGUGUGUUACUGAGGAAAUGCUCUGUUAGCAAGAGGUAGGAAGGACUAUUAUUUUUGUUGUGCAUCUCCUGGAUGGGGAUCCCCUGGACGGUGUGUCCCCUCAAUUGUGAAUACCUGAAUAGAUUCUCUGAUGAAAAUUGAUGACCACCAAGAACUUUAGCAUGUGCCUUUUUUUUUUUUCCCCCACAUAGCUUAUCUGUAGAUACAAUGGAUUAAAGUUCAAAAUGAGACCAUACUGGGUAGGCUGGAUCCUGAAUCUAAUGAAAGCAUCUUUAUAACGGACAGAAACACACAUGCAGUAACUCACAGAGAGAAUAUGUUUCAGGCCACAUGAAGACAGGGGCAGAAAUUGGAAUGGUGGGACCACAAGCCAAAGAACACCAGAAGCCAACAGAAGCUCAAAGAGGCAAGGAAGGACUCUGUCGUUGAGACCUCAGAGAGAGCAUGCCUCUGCUGACACUUGGACCUCCAGUCCAAAAUGGUGACCAACUCUCCUUAGUGAUCUCCAUAAUCAUUGGUCGUUCUUCUUCUUCACCUCACUUCAAUUUCCGUGUCCCGCUCAUCAUGGUGCGUAUUAAAAUGACUCUCACUAGCAUAUCUCCACCAGAACCAACUCUAAAGGAAUGAGGUUUACACAGCAAUGUUUUUCCAAUUUUUGCAGUUUAUCAUUCAGAAUCAACUCAACUUAUUUUGAGAAAGGAUUGAGUCUUUAUUAUGUCUCACUGUCAAUAAAGCCUUCCAUAGUAUCUUCGUGAGUAAGCAGCAGAAUCUCAUAAAAUUCAUAUCCUAUAGAUGGACAUUGGGCCACAGGAUGGGGCAGACACAAUAAGGGAUUAAAUACCUGGUGGCAUCUUGCUUAUGGACUGUGGGAAUUAGGGAUGGGACUGUGUGUUCCCAGGUUUUCAAAUGCUGGGAGGAUUGGUAGAGGCAGGAAAAGUAGCAAAGGAGCAGAGUGGCUCCAGAAAGCCAUCAGGACAACUUUGAACUGCACAGAAAGCAAUUCUAUGUCUCACCAGUGGCAAUAACUUUGAGAGUUUUAGGAGGCUUGGGUAAGGUGUAAAGCUCUUGAAACUGUCCUACUUUAUUAUUAUAGAAAACAGUGUUAGUCACAGUGUGUGUGUGUAUCCAGCAUGCUUUCCAACACUUUUUCUUCUGAUUCCUUUGGGGAAUCCCUCCCUCCAUCCAUGCAGUCUUGGUAGAGGAUAGAAAUUAAUUGCCCUUACACCUAGCUCAACAAAGGGUAUGUGACCUUAACUGGGCAGGGCACGCCAUCCAUCUAGGUAGAGUGAUUGGCUUACAGGUGUUCAUAUACAACCCAUGCAGGCUUAGUCAGUGUCUUUCCUGGAAUUAAUAUGUGAACUUUGGCAGUAAGACUCUUUUUCCAUUGACAUUGAAGAACAAGGAAGAAGUGGGUUUAGAUAUGCAGGCAGGCUUCUGAGGGAAAUCUUUUAGUAGAUGAAACCAAGCAGGGUUGAGACAUGAAGAGAAAGAUAUACUCUAGGACCUACCCAUUCCUGAGCUUCCUAGUCAUAUGAGCCAAAAAAUUCUCUUUUCACUUCAACCAGUCUGAGUCAGGUAUCUGAUACCACUUGUAACUUAAAGCCAAUCAAGUCUUGAAAAGGGAGGAAAAGAGAGAUGUACAGCCAAAGGAAUGAAAUAUUUGGCAAGAAAAUAGAAAUCACCUGCUUGUGAAUUAACCUACUCUAAUUUUUCUUUUGUGAACUUUGUGCCUGCAAUGUCUUACAAAAGCCCUAAUUAUUUUGGGGCAAGUGUCACAAUUAUUAGCAUCAAGCUCUCUAUCUAACAUGUAACAAAGUCCAUUCUGUGGUACCAUGCAGGGCUUUCCACUUUUAACCCUGUUAAUAAAAUGUGAAAGAGAUUUGAGAGAAAGAAGACUGAGAAGCAAUGCGAUACCAUGUAAACAAUAGUGGAUUUUAAAUUAGGGCCUGAGAUUGGAAUAAACAUUUUGACACCCCCCUUGGGAGUAUUUGCUUUGUUGCCCUGAGCUUUAGUUGCUUUAACAUGGAAAAGGAAUGAGAAUAAUGAUAAUCCUUACUACACAUGGUUUUCAUGUGAAUUAUCCAAUAUACUGUAAAUAAUGUAGAGUGGCCAGCACUGAAACCACCUUUGCAAAAUUAUAACUGAGGAAAUUACGACAGUGAAAGAAGUCAGACCUCGCUGACUCUAUCUUGCCUCUACCCUUAAGUUGUCCUUUUAUAUUCCUACCUGUAGGGCCGAACUAACUUUGGGAAGGAAUUCAGUUCAUGGUUUGACUCUGAAACAAAAUUGAUAACAGCCCUUUCCCAAAAAGAUCCCCCUUCUUGCCUGCGGUCCAAUCUGCCUUUUCAGGACUAACAAAUUAGCUACAAGAUCAGAAAUUACAAUUUAGGGGUCAUGCAGCCUCUGGUUCCAAGAGUCUGAACCUUCCCAAAUUGCUCUCAGGGAUAACAUCACUGUUGUAAAACCGAAGAUCAGUUCUUGAGAUGUUUUGCAGACGCUGCAGUUGACGGAUCAGCUGACACCACCCGGGCUAGUAAUCUGGCUCAACCAGUUCUGCCGUCCCACCCAGGAACAAAAGACAGCAAGAAAACCUAACUUCGACGCCCGCCCUGUGAUUCCAUCUCCAACCUGACCAAUCAGCACUCCCCACUUCGUGAGCCCCUACUUGCCAAGUUAUGAUUUAAAACUAUGAUUCUCGAAUGCUCGGUGAGACUGAUUUCAGUAAUAAUAAAACUCUGAUCUCCCGCA
Macaca mulatta (Rhesus monkey) is the source of this 3346-nucleotide non-coding RNA. The record is from RefSeq and is a predicted model, not a curated record. Lineage: Eukaryota; Metazoa; Chordata; Mammalia; Primates; Cercopithecidae.